AGUCAGGUCUGGGGUAUGGGAGAGAGAACAGAAUCCUGCCUCAGAUGCCAUACUCCCUGUCCUGCAUACUGAGCAAGACUGUCUAGUUCGCUUCAUUCUUCAGAUAGUUUGGACUCGUUGCUCACCUUCCUGGGGGAGCUUUUGGAGGUCACAGAAGAUUCUGGUGACUCUUGGAAAGGAUAUUUUUAUUAGAUUUGAUUAUAGCUGAGAGUUGUCCAGCUUCCAGAAGAGUAGGACCUAACUCAUUUUCCUUAAAUUUUUGCAGCUCAAGUGGCAGUCCUCCUUUCCAGCCCAUCAAAAGCCACGUAACCAUUCCAACAGCCCAUGUGAUGCCUUCUACUUUAGGGACCUCUCCUGCCAAGCCAAAUUCUACACCUGUUGGACCCUCUUCCUCUAAACUGCCUUUGUCAGGGUUGGCUGAAAGUGUGGGAAUGA
Molecule: small RNA, 435 nt
Filed under: Pongo abelii (Sumatran orangutan)
Lineage: Eukaryota; Metazoa; Chordata; Mammalia; Primates; Hominidae
Description: processed transcript
Source: RNAcentral